Jaapia argillacea is the source of this 91-nucleotide transfer RNA. It matches the Rfam family "tRNA". Rfam says of the family: Transfer RNA (tRNA) molecules are approximately 80 nucleotides in length. Their secondary structure includes four short double-helical elements and three loops (D, anti-codon, and T loops). The record is from Rfam. NCBI's taxonomy places the organism in Eukaryota, Fungi, Basidiomycota, Agaricomycetes, Jaapiales, Jaapiaceae.
GUCGGCAUAGCUAAGUGGUUAUAGCAUGCGAUUGCAGUUCAAUCAUAAGCUCUGUAUCGCAGGGUCGCGUGUUCAAAUCACGCUGCUGACU